GAGUUUGAUCCUGGCUCAGAGCGAACGCUGGCGGCAGGCCUAACACAUGCAAGUCGAGCGCCCCGCAAGGGGAGCGGCAGACGGGAUAGUAACACGUGGGAACGUACCCUUCAGUUCGGAACAACCAAGGGAAACUUUGGCUAAUACCGAAUACGUCCGUAAGGAGAAAGAUUUAUCGCUGAAGGAUCGGCCCGCGUCUGAUUAGCUAGUUGGUGAGGUAAUGGCUCACCAAGGCGACGAUCAGUAGCUGGUCUGAGAGGAUGAUCAGCAUCACUGGGACUGAGACACGGCCCAGACUCCUACGGGAGGCAGCAGUGGGGAAUAUUGGACAAUGGGCGCAAGCCUGAUCCAGCCAUGCCGCGUGGAUGAUGAAGGCCCUAGGGUUGUAAAGUCCUUUCGGCGGGGAAGAUAAUGACGGUACCCGCAGAAGAAGCCCCGGCUAACUUCGUGCCAGCCGCCGCCGUAAC
This 467-nucleotide ribosomal RNA is filed under the name uncultured Alphaproteobacteria bacterium. RNAcentral describes it as "bacterial SSU rRNA". It matches the Rfam family "Bacterial small subunit ribosomal RNA", at positions 9 to 524 of the family's 1533-position model. Lineage: Bacteria; Pseudomonadati; Pseudomonadota; Alphaproteobacteria. The record is from RNAcentral.